GCUCAGAUUGAACGCUGGCGGCAGGCCUAACACAUGCAAGUCGAGCGGUAGAGAGGUGCUUGCACCUCUUGAGAGCGGCGGACGGGUGAGUAAUGCCUAGGAAUCUGCCUGGUAGUGGGGGAUAACGUCCGGAAACGGACGCUAAUACCGCAUACGUCCUACGGGAGAAAGCAGGGGACCUUCGGGCCUUGCGCUAUCAGAUGAGCCUAGGUCGGAUUAGCUAGUUGGUGAGGUAAAGGCUCACCAAGGCGACGAUCCGUAACUGGUCUGAGAGGAUGAUCAGUCACACUGGAACUGAGACACGGUCCAGACUCCUACGGGAGGCAGCAGUGGGGAAUAUUGGACAAUGGGCGAAAGCCUGAUCCAGCCAUGCCGCGUGUGUGAAGAAGGUCUUCGGAUUGUAAAGCACUUUAAGUUGGGAGGAAGGGUCGUUACCUAAUACGUGACGAUUUUGACGUUACCGACAGAAUAAGCACCGGCUAACUCUGUGCCAGCAGCCGCGGUAAUACAGAGGGUGCAAGCGUUAAUCGGAAUUACUGGGCGUAAAGCGCGCGUAGGUGGUUUGUUAAGUUGAAUGUGAAAUCCCCGGGCUCAACCUGGGAACUGCAUCCAAAACUGGCAAGCUAGAGUAGGGCAGAGGGUGGUGGAAUUUCCUGUGUAGCGGUGAAAUGCGUAGAUAUAGGAAGGAACACCAGUGGCGAAGGCGACCACCUGGGCUCAUACUGACACUGAGGUGCGAAAGCGUGGGGAGCAAACAGGAUUAGAUACCCUGGUAGUCCACGCCGUAAACGAUGUCAACUAGCCGUUGGAAUCCUUGAGAUUUUAGUGGCGCAGCUAACGCAUUAAGUGACCCGCCC
RNAcentral lists this ribosomal RNA (857 nucleotides) under Pseudomonas cichorii. RNAcentral describes it as "bacterial SSU rRNA". It matches the Rfam family "Bacterial small subunit ribosomal RNA", at positions 22 to 873 of the family's 1533-position model. The record is from RNAcentral. Lineage: Bacteria; Pseudomonadati; Pseudomonadota; Gammaproteobacteria; Pseudomonadales; Pseudomonadaceae.